Long non-coding RNA from Episyrphus balteatus (marmalade hoverfly), 475 nucleotides. RefSeq lists it as uncharacterized. The record is from RefSeq and is a predicted model, not a curated record. The transcript has 2 exons. Lineage: Eukaryota; Metazoa; Arthropoda; Insecta; Diptera; Syrphidae.
UCGAAUCAGAAUCUGAACGCUGCCAUUCAAUUCGGAAUCAUUCGGACUUUUUGAUUCGGACACUAUCUGUCAUCCUAAUUUGUAAGCCAGUGUCAUUUGGAUUUUGGAAUAAUAAAAAAAAACACGAAAUAAAUGCCGGAGCAUCAAAUUUAUUUGCUAACCAAUUUUAAUCAUAUAAACCAUCCUACUUUAACCAAUAUUUAUAAAAAAAAACCUUUCCAAUAUCUUCAUUCAUUUGCGCCUGAGAAAAAAAGUGAAUGUUUAUUCUUUUUCAUGUUAUUUGAGGCCCAUCGUUUAAUAUCCUCAUCAACAACAUGCAACAGGACACAUACGCCGCUGCCGCAGAACCUACUCCAAGGUUGAGUUCGGGCAGAUUCGACCCAUGACGAAGAUGGAUUUGUAUUUUUAUAUCUAUGAAUAAUGUAGAUACAGGUUGGUUAAACAAAAUAAAAAUACUACACAAGAAGACAUUGUA